CUUUCCUACGGGGCGCAGCAGUGGGGAAUAUUGCACAAUGGGGGAAACCCUGAUGCAGCGACGCCGCGUGAGUGAAGAAGCGUUUCGGCGCGUAAAGCUCUGUCAGCGGGGAAGAAACACGGUUCGCGAGAGCCGCGGACGGUACCCGACCAAGAAGCCCCGGCUAACUACGUGCCAGCAGCCGCGGUAAUACGGAGGGUGCGAGCGUUAAUCGGAAUUACUGGGCGUAAAGCGCUCGUAGGCGGCAUGUCAAGUCAAGGGUGAAAUCCCCGCGCUCAAC
This 280-nucleotide ribosomal RNA is filed under the name uncultured bacterium. RNAcentral describes it as "partial 16S ribosomal RNA". It matches the Rfam family "Bacterial small subunit ribosomal RNA", at positions 334 to 613 of the family's 1533-position model. The record is from RNAcentral.